AGAUUGAACGCUGGCGGCAGGCCUAACACAUGCAAGUCGAGCGGUAGAGAGGUGCUUGCACCUCUUGAGAGCGGCGGACGGGUGAGUAAUGCCUAGGAAUCUGCCUAGUGGUGGGGGAUAACGUUCGGAAACGGACGCUAAUACCGCAUACGUCCUACGGGAGAAAGCGGGGGACCUUCGGGCCUCGCGCCAUUAGAUGAGCCUAGGUCGGAUUAGCUAGUUGGUGAGGUAAUGGCUCACCAAGGCGACGAUCCGUAACUGGUCUGAGAGGGAUGGAUACGAGUCACACUGGAACUGAGACACGGUCCAGACUCCUACGGGAGCAGCAGUGGGGAAUAUUGGACAAUGGGCGAAAGCCUGAUCCAGCCAUGCCGCGUGUGUGAAGAAGGUCUUCGGAUUGUAAAGCACUUUAAGUGGAGAAGGUUGAACUUAAUACGUUGCAACUUUGACGUUACGACAGAAUAAGCACGGCUAACUCGUGCCAGCAGCCGCGGUAA
Molecule: ribosomal RNA, 497 nt
Filed under: uncultured soil bacterium
Lineage: Bacteria
Description: bacterial SSU rRNA
Rfam family: Bacterial small subunit ribosomal RNA
Source: RNAcentral